AACGAACGCUGGCGGCAUGCCUAACACAUGCAAGUCGAACGGGAUCCUAGCUUGCUAGGUGAGAGUGGCGGACGGGUGAGUAACACGUGGGAAUCUGCCUUUUGGUUCGGGAUAACCGCGGGAAACUGCGGCUAAUACCGAAUGCCCUCGAGAGAGGAAAGAUUUAUCGCCAGAAGAGGAGCCCGCGUCCGAUUAGGUAGUUGGUGGGUAAAGGCCUACCAAGCCGACGAUCGGUAGCUGGUCUGAGAGGAUGAUCAGCCACACUGGGACUGAGAUACGGCCCAGACUCCUACGGGAGGCAGCAGUGGGGAAUAUUGGACAAUGGGGCGAACCCUCGAUCCAGCAAUGCCGCGUGAGUGAUGAAGG
RNAcentral lists this ribosomal RNA (366 nucleotides) under uncultured bacterium. RNAcentral's name for it is "bacterial SSU rRNA". It matches the Rfam family "Bacterial small subunit ribosomal RNA", at positions 29 to 414 of the family's 1533-position model. The record is from RNAcentral.